Molecule: long non-coding RNA, 4561 nt
Filed under: Pelobates cultripes (western spadefoot toad)
Lineage: Eukaryota; Metazoa; Chordata; Amphibia; Anura; Pelobatidae
Source: RNAcentral
GCUAAACAAAAACGUCAUUGGACAUCCAGUUCAUGAAAAAGCUAGAUUUAUGCCGUGCAGAUUCUGACAUUGUGGUCUGUUUAAUGACAGUUUUGGAAGGCAUGGUAAAAAGGUCAGUCUCGCGCUAUCAACUUAAUCUCAAACUGGGGAAGAUAUUGCUGGUGGGUGUAAAAAUGAAAAAAAUUAUCAAAAUCAAAGAAAUAUUUCUUGCAACAGCCUGUGAUGUUGAGAUGCAGAAUCAGCAAAGAUGUCCUGUUUACUUUGUCGGAUUGACAAUGGAUAAGAGGUUAUUGACUGUUCUGCAAUCUGAUCUAUCAGAUAGGUGUUAAUUAUCCCAAUCCCCAGGGUCCGGAGAUUCCCAAAAGAAUUGUAGUAGAGGGGAGACAAUUGCACACUCCAGGCUCCAAAUUCCUCCAUCACCAUUAUCUCCUUUAGAUUGUAAGCUCAUGGGGUAUCCUGCAAACGCAAGACUGUAAGCUCAUGGGACAUCUUGUUACACAAUAUAUGGCCUAUUUACUAAAGUAGGACUUAGGGAGAAUUUACAAAGCAUUUGCAAAUAAUUUUUAGUCCCAAAAAUGUAAACAUUCCCAUUUUAGCUAUUUCUCCAGUGUGGCUAUUUUGCUGUUAAUUUACUGUUGAAUUGUUAAAUCUCUACAAUUUUAGUUUAGUGAAUAAACAGCUUUCUAUAAAAGAGAAACAAACACUAGAUUGUAAGCUCCCAGACCGAGCAUGUGCACCUAUUGUAUCAAGUCUUAAUAUAAAUUGUUCUGUUUGUUUCCCUAUGCAUUUAUAAAUGUACUAAUCUUUGGAUAGCAUAUAAAACAUAGGGUAUAUGGGGCCCAUAGUCAUGACUGUCCAUCUCAAUUCGAAUAAUAAAAUAGCUAUAUUCAGUCUAAGAAGGGUUCUUUUUAAAAAAGAUUAAAAUGAUAGCAGAACUGCAUUCAGAUCGUGCAGGCGGUGGCGCUGUGGGAGGGACCCUGAGCUUAUAGUGUAUUGUGUUCUUUCUAACCCAAUGCUGCAAUAAACCAGAAAUAUUCGGAAUAUGCUUCAUGAAUGUCUCAUCAUCUUCCGCUUGGAACUACGGACCCAAUAUUUUGUUUACAGCAAUGCUAUGUUAAGCAGAAAAGAUUUAUUUUUACACAUUUUCUGUGUAUUCCUUUUUUUUCGCCCACUGCACCCAGCUGUCCUGGGCUCAGACUCUUUUUGUGUACUUAUUCCCCCAUUGAUAACUCUCCUUGCAGCUUGUAUUGGCCAUCGGACCGAUAUUUAUUUACUUAUUAAUCCAGAGGUUAAAACAGCAGAUCUGACUCAUUGCGCUGAUUGCGAAACAUACGUGGGUGAUUUGCAAACUCACACCCAAGAAAAUCCCUCACAAAAGCCUGCGGGGUUCCCUUCCACCCCACCCAUCGUCCCACAUGGAGGGUGAAAUUACACAGCAUGCUGGCUGUCACGAAGAAAGGCCAUCUCGACAUAAGUAUCGCUGACUGAUCAAUCGCAGCUGCUGGACGCUGCAGUCAUCGGCAGGCGGCAGAGAGCGAGCAAGCAACCUUUACCAAUCUAUCCAGUUCUUUAUAAGGUCAAUGGAAGAAGUUCCAUUGAGUUGUGUAAUAAUAGCACACGUGUCGAUCAUUAUCAGUGGUAAACACAUUGUUAGUAUUUCAGUAUGUGAUUCCAUUGUUCGUGUAUAUUUAGCUCAAUCACUGUGUAAUGCGGCAUGGAACCUCUAAUACUGGGUCGCACGCCUUAUUGUAAUUUUACCAUCAUGGCAGGAAGGUGUUUGGGAGCUGUUACUGAGAAUGGGUGCCGGUUACAGGAAUCACAGGGUAAUAACAGUGAAAGCUUUAUAGAUAGAAAGAUGGGAGAUGCAGGAUACAGUGACCCUCUGACCUUCGAAAAAGCGAUUAUUGUAAAUCAGAGGCUUAAUAUAUACCGAUCCCGAUAUCACUCACAGACAAUCCAUCUGUUUAUCUGGGAGAAAAGUGAAACCAUUUAUCAAUUCGUUACAAAGAACACAGGACAUUCUGUUAAAUCAUUUAGGAGACUAUUAUUGUUCACAAAAAAAAUGGAUAUUUACACCGAAAUAGCAGGAAAUAAAUCCAAUUCUUGGCUAAUUUAGGGGGCUUUAUUUUCCAGUUUUACAAGUUAUUCACUAAUGAAUGCACCUGUUAGAGAAAUAAAACUGCUCAGUUUCUUGCAGUAAUACUGCGUGUUACGAUUAAUCGCUAUCUGGGUGACAUUAUCACCUGCCGUGUCUUAACAUUACUAGGGAGCCCCAGGAGCUGUGCUGGUUACUGGUGUCACCAUGGCCAUUGGCAGGAUCGUUCUGGCAGUAUGGAACACAGACAUAGGUGGGUAAAACAGGACUGAGUGCAGAUAAGGCUAGGUCUGGCUGAGAAUGUUAGGAGAUUCCAUUCAUAAUAGCUUAACUCUAACCCCCCCCAACAUUAACUCCACCCUAACUAUAAAUACUGUCAGGGCUGAUCCUAGGGACACAGGCGCCUGGGUGCAGAUUUUAUUUUUGAGCCCCAGGUUGGCUAGUUUAUGUUUUAAUUAUAUUAUACAUUUUAGUUAAAUAUUUUAGGUGAUUUUAUAUAUUUGUGUUAGUUAUACAUUGUAAUUAGUCACAUAUUUUUGGUAACUUCUGUGUGUUAAGAAAUUAUUGUCAGGCAACAGCAAAAUACAACGCUGUCCCCCAUGGAAUUAUGGGCGUUUUGGUCCAGCAAAAUAUUGAGGGGUGCAGUUUGAACCCCCAUGCUGUAUGAGAUCACAGUGAGUGCUAGCAACCUCUGUUAGUUAAAAACUAUUGCCUCCCCCCCCUCCCUGCACUAAUGUGAAACGUGCUGUUUUGCCUUUCAGGAGCCCCACCACGGGCUGGGAGCUGAGGAAACAGAGUGAUUAAUAGCUGAUUGAGAGUCACGGCCCACACAUCACCCCAGGCAGUUUACAAGAGCGCUAAUAUACAAGAAUACAGUGUAUACCCAAUUCCAGGCUUCCAGAAAUGUCUCUACAGGAAACAUAAUACGUGUCAAACCCUUCCUCUCUAUAUUUACAUCAUCUCGCUAGAAGAAAAUAAACAGUAUAUCAUGCACGUCACUGUAAUCCACACGUGGCCCAAUUAUACACAAUAUGGCGGCUACCCUGCCUGCCACAAUGGUGCAUACGGAGCUCUCUGCCCAGUGCUCUGCAGGGUAACGCAGUGCGUUCAGCAUCACUGAGCAAUCUGCCAACAUAACACACGGAGGAAGAGAACAGGUAAAGACCUUCCACGAUCAACGCUGUGUAUAUUCUACAAGGAUAUGCACGUUUUCAGAGUAACGUUCAACAUAUAUGCAAAAAAAGUACUCUACCACAUAAAAAGUUAAAAACUGAAAAAAAAAUCUAAAAAAAAUUAAAAUGUUAUAUCGCUAGUGUCCUUGAGACUAUUGGCACAACAUUGCAGAAAAACUAAUAACCCCUGCCCCCAAAACUACAGAACUCUCACACCCAGUCCGUAAUGUGGAAAACUUGUCCGGCCUCCAGACGCCACGCUCCACGUGUAAAGUAAUGGUUUUGGCGAACGCGGAGAGCUGUCCCGAGGUUAAACGGGUGGCUCUGCUUGUUACUUCUCCCAACCCCACAGACCUCUUAGACGGCACCCACCUAUUUUAUUAUUUCUAUUAAUUAAACUCCACUCUUAGUGGAUAUGAUGAGAAUAGUUGUUACCGCCCUCACUUUAAUGUGUGGGUUCACAUUCAGUUGUGAUCGAUGCAAUAAUGUAUCUAGGUGAAAUACUGCCACAAUAGUUCAAAACUGUAUAACCUAUAUAAUCUGUCUCCCAUGUAAUAUGUGUUAAAUACCCAGGUAAUAUACGUGAAAUGUCCAUGUAAUAUGUGUUAAAUAUCUGGUCCCUCCAGCAUGAUACAGCAUGUGACAAAAGUCAAAUAACGAUUGAACUCCUACGCAUUUCGUGACUAUGCAAUCACUUCAUCAGGGAGUAUGACUGAUCACCCACACACUGACUUAAAAUGAGGAUUUAGCUCAUGGGUAGGCAACGUCCGGGACUCUACAGCUCCGAUAAUGCUCUUACAGCCAGAAUGCUGGCAAAGCACAACAUCUGUAGAGCUGAAGGUACUACCCCUGAUUUAGUUAAAGGACCAUUAUAGUGCCAGGAAAACAUACUCGUUUUCCUGGCACUAUAGUGCCCUGAGGGUGCCCCCACCCACAGGGACCCCCUCCCGCCGGGCUCUGGGUAGAAGAAGGGGUUAAACACUUACCUUACCCUAGCUCGACCUGGCACCCAGACCACUUAAUUAAGCUGAAGUGGUCUGGGUGCCUAGAGUGGUCCUUUAAUCACUCCUGAACAUCAAUUGCACAAAUAAUUAGAGGAGCUAUAGCGUCCAAUCACUAUGACGAUAGUUUCAGUCCGCUGAUACUUUGUAUCGCUCAAUCGUAACAUAAAACGGAGACACUUUAUGAAGGGAUUCCUAUUGGCUUUGAUAGUUUAAAGGUUACAAUAAAUACUUUAUCACAAUUGGUAAAUUGCGAGCAUUCCUGCGACAUUGUGUUAAAAAGAAGAAUCUCC